AGAGUUUGAUCCUGGCUCAGGACGAACGCUGGCGGCGUGCUUAACACAUGCAAGUCGAACGGAAAGGCCCUUCGGGGUACUCGAGUGGCGAACGGGUGAGUAACACGUGGGUGAUCUGCCCUGCACUUUGGGAUAAGCCUGGGAAACUGGGUCUAAUACCGAAUAGGACCACGCGCUUCAUGGUGUGUGGUGGAAAGCUUUUGCGGUGUGGGAUGGGCCCGCGGCCUAUCAGCUUGUUGGUGGGGUAAUGGCCUACCAAGGCGACGACGGGUAGCCGGCCUGAGAGGGUGACCGGCCACACUGGGAC
RNAcentral lists this ribosomal RNA (307 nucleotides) under uncultured Mycobacterium sp. Its description in RNAcentral is "bacterial SSU rRNA". It matches the Rfam family "Bacterial small subunit ribosomal RNA", at positions 8 to 319 of the family's 1533-position model. The record is from RNAcentral. Lineage: Bacteria; Bacillati; Actinomycetota; Actinomycetes; Mycobacteriales; Mycobacteriaceae.